AAAAAAAACUCGUGCAGUAGUACAUUAAAAGCUGAACUCCAUUCAAACAAGCCCAUAAAACCCCAUUACAUUGCAGAUUACACACAUCUACUUAUUUAUUCGGCAAACUGUAUAACACACCAAAGAUCGAGUUUGCGUAGCAUUUCACUCAACCGGAGAUCUCAAUGGCCUUGACAUCUGGUUGCUUGACCUCCUCUUUGGGCACAGUCACUGUCAAGACUCCAUUCUCCAUGCUUGCCUUAACCUGAUCAACUUUCGCAUUCUCUGGCAGCCUGAACCUCCU
RNAcentral lists this unclassified non-coding RNA (283 nucleotides) under Hevea brasiliensis (rubber tree). The record is from RNAcentral. Lineage: Eukaryota; Viridiplantae; Streptophyta; Magnoliopsida; Malpighiales; Euphorbiaceae.